UGAGUAACCUGCCCUUAACUCUGGGAUAAGCCUGGGAAACUGGGUCUAAUACCGGAUAUGACUCCUCAUCGCAUGGUGGGGGGUGGAAAGCUUUUUGUGGUUUUGGAUGGACUCGCGGCCUAUCAGCUUGUUGGUGAGGUAAUGGCACACCAAGGCGACGACGGGUAGCCGGCCUGAGAGGGUGACCGGCCACACUGGGACUGAGACACGGCCCAGACUCCUACGGGAGGCAG
This 233-nucleotide ribosomal RNA is filed under the name uncultured bacterium. RNAcentral describes it as "partial 16S ribosomal RNA". It matches the Rfam family "Bacterial small subunit ribosomal RNA", at positions 118 to 351 of the family's 1533-position model. The record is from RNAcentral.